AGUAAUGUCAGCUAAUGUUAAGCUUUUGGUCCCAUACCCCGAACAUGUUGGUUAAACUCCUUCCUUUACUA
RNAcentral lists this transfer RNA (71 nucleotides) under Eviota japonica. Its description in RNAcentral is "tRNA-Met". It matches the Rfam family "tRNA". From Rfam's summary of the family: Transfer RNA (tRNA) molecules are approximately 80 nucleotides in length. Lineage: Eukaryota; Metazoa; Chordata; Actinopteri; Gobiiformes; Gobiidae. The record is from RNAcentral.